CUUCAAAACUUAAUUCCGCUCUUUGCGUUCAACUGUAACAAGUAACCGUAGAGUUUGAUCCUGGCUCAGGAUGAACGCUGGCGGCGUGCUUAACACAUGCAAGUCGAACGAUGAUGCUGGUGCUUGCACUGGUGGAUUAGUGGCGAACGGGUGAGUAACACGUGAGUAACCUGCCCCUGACUUCGGGAUAAGCCCGGGAAACUGGGUUUAAUACCGGAUAUGACUUCCUGGUGCAUGGCAGGGGGUGGAAAGAUUUAUCGGUUGGGGAUGGACUCGCGGCCUAUCAGCUUGUUGGUGAGGUAAUGGCUCACCAAGGCGACGACGGGUAGCCGGCCUGAGAGGGUGACCGGCCACACUGGGACUGAGACCCGGCCCAGACUCCUACGGGAGGCAGCCGUGGGGAAUAUUGCACAAUGGGCGAAAGCCUGAUGCAGCGACGCCGCGUGAGGGAUGACGGCCUUCGGGUUGUAAACCUCUUUCAGUAGGGAAGAAGCCCCUUUUUGGGGUGACGGUACUUGCAGAAGAAGCGCCGGCUAACUACGUGCCAGCAGCCGCGGUAAUACGUAGGGCGCAAGCGUUAUCCGGAAUUAUUGGGCGUAAAGAGCUCGUAGGCGGUUUGUCGCGUCUGCCGUGAAAGUCCGAGGCUCAACCUCGGAUCUGCGGUGGGUACGGGCAGACUAGAGUGAUGUAGGGGAGACUGGAAUUCCUGGUGUAGCGGUGAAAUGCGCAGAUAUCAGGAGGAACACCGAUGGCGAAGGCAGGUCUCUGGGCAUUUACUGACGCUGAGGAGCGAAAGCAUGGGGAGCGAACAGGAUUAGAUACCCUGGUAGUCCAUGCCGUAAACGUUGGGCACUAGGUGUGGGGGACAUUCCACGUUUUCCGCGCCGUAGCUAACGCAUUAAGUGCCCCC
This 910-nucleotide ribosomal RNA is filed under the name Arthrobacter sp. Its description in RNAcentral is "bacterial SSU rRNA". It matches the Rfam family "Bacterial small subunit ribosomal RNA", at positions 1 to 871 of the family's 1533-position model. The record is from RNAcentral. Lineage: Bacteria; Bacillati; Actinomycetota; Actinomycetes; Micrococcales; Micrococcaceae.